This 412-nucleotide ribosomal RNA is filed under the name uncultured bacterium. Its description in RNAcentral is "bacterial SSU rRNA". It matches the Rfam family "Bacterial small subunit ribosomal RNA", at positions 355 to 776 of the family's 1533-position model. The record is from RNAcentral.
UCGAGAAUCUUCGGCAAUGGGCGAAAGCCUGACCGAGCGACGCCGCGUGUGCGAUGAAGGCCCUUCGGGUUGUAAAGCACUGUCGAGAGGAAACAAGCCGCAAGGUUGAGUGACCUCUGGAGGAAGCACGGGCUAAGUUCGUGCCAGCAGCCGCGGUAAGACGAACCGUGCGAACGUUGUUCGGAAUCACUGGGCUUAAAGGGUGCGUAGGCGGAAUGGCAAGUCGGAGGUGAAAGCCCCCAGCUUAACUGGGGAAGUGCCCUCGAUACUGCUGUUCUCGAGAGAGGUAGGGGCGUGUGGAACUUCCGGUGGAGCGGUGAAAUGCGUAGAUAUCGGAAGGAACGCCGGUGGCGAAAGCGAUGCGCUGGACCUUUUCUGACGCUGAGGCACGAAAGCUAGGGGAGCGAACGGG